This 194-nucleotide ribosomal RNA is filed under the name uncultured bacterium. RNAcentral describes it as "partial 16S ribosomal RNA". It matches the Rfam family "Bacterial small subunit ribosomal RNA", at positions 307 to 526 of the family's 1533-position model. The record is from RNAcentral.
GCCUCCCUCCGCCGCCACUCAGACUCCGUACGGGAGGCGAGCAGGUGGGAAGUAUUGCGCAAUGGGACGAAAGCCUGACGCAGCGACGCCGCGUGGGGAGCUCGGUUGUAACCCUUUCAGCAGGGACGAAGCGAAAGUGACGGUACCUGCAGAAGAAGCGCCGGCUAACUACGUGCCAGCAGCCGCGGUAAUAC